AAACUCGAUCAAUAGAUCUAAGUUGACAAUGCCUCAUCGUACGGGUAGUAAGCCUAUUCGAGAGAUCAUGUAUGAAUUGGUGAGUAAAUAUUGCAAUUUUUACUGACAAACUUCAUCUUUGUUAAAAAUAUUCUGUGGCUUAUUUAUUUAAAUAUGAAGGGAGACAAAGAUGGAAACCCCCCAGAUAUGGCAACUAUCUUUUUUCAGACUCGUAAGAAGGACGAUAAGCUUGUCGAACCUAAAACCAAUGAAAAAUAUGCAAGUUUAUUGUCAAAUUAUAUUUAUGUGUUGCAUUAUUUCCAAUAGUCUUGUAAUUUAUAGGCUAAAAUCCAAGAAUUGAUGCAAUCUGAAUCGUCUCUUACAAGCAUUGAGGUCAUAAAAAGGUCCUUCGGACCUUAACGCAAGAGUCAUGUAGUUGGAUUUGGUGGUAGAAUUACUGCUAAGGAAUUAAAAGGUGGUAACUCCUUCAAGGCUUCAUUGAUGGAAAAGCCGAGUGCCACUGAAAGAGAAAAUGAGUCACUAAAAGGACGCGUAGUAGGGCUAGAGAGUAAAUGCGAAGUUUAACCAGACUUCAUCGUCAUCUUCAAGUGAACAAUAGGUUGAAGCAUUUAACAGGUUAGUAGAUUAAAAAUCCUAUUAAUCACCUUUCAAAAAACACUUUAUCUAAAACUUAAAAACAAUAUAAUUUUACAUUAAUCGCCUCUUCUUGUACUUUUCCUUGCCUAAAAAAAAGAUAGACCUCAAACCAAAAAAAAAAACUUGGUGGAGGGGCAUUUAAUACUGAGUUUAUUUUAAUCCUAUUGUUGUAUGUCUUACUUGGAACCUUCUGUUUGCAUCAAAUUAUAUGUGAUACAAAAACAAAUUGCAAUCACAAAAUAAAUAUGAAGAAACAUAAUUUUAUUGAUAAAAUGAUGCGGGUACAAUCAUGUUUCUCCCUUGAUUCUUCUCUCCUGAUAAUCUUCGUGAUUCGAGGGCUGAAGCAGCGUAUUUCCCGAAUGUAAGGAUGACGCAGAGCUCCUAGAUGUAUCCGGUUUCUUGAACUAUUUCAUUGUCAAGACGUAUCCGGCCAUAUUUAGGUCUCUUUGUAAGUAUCACGUGAGUUUAUGGGAUUUUUUUGAGACCCCUCUUUUGGAGAAUAUGUAUCCCUUGUGAGUUAGGGUUCAAGGUAGAGUACCCUCCAAGAAACCCAGAUAGACUCCUAAUAGACUCCUAGGAUUUCUAGAGUUCUGUAGUAUCUUUAAUUUAGGAUUUGGCUUGAUCCCUUAAAAUUUUGAUGUCUACAAAUGCCCCCUACUUCAAGGUUUGUCAGGGUGUAGGCUUGCCGAACUUUAAGACGAGACUUGAAGUACUCGACAGUCGCAACAAAUCGUUUUGAAACUUGGACUUUUUUUAUUUAUAGGAGGAAGAGAUGAAGGGCAGAACUGGUCUCACUGAGCGUGCCAAUUUGUUUGCAUCAAAUUAUAUAUGAUAAAGAAAUAAGUUGAAAUCACAAAAUAAAUAUGAAGAAACAUAAUUUUAUUGAUAAAAUGAUGAUGGUACAAUCAUGUUUCUCCCUUGAUUCUUCUCUCCUGAUAAUCAUCGUGAUUCGAGGGCUGAAGCAGCGUAUUUCCCAAAUGUAAGGAUGACGCAGAGCUCCUAGAUAUAUUCGGUUUCUUGAACUAUUUCAUUGUCAAAACGUAUCCGGUCAUAUUUUGGUCUCUUUGUGAGUUUCCCGUGAGUUUAUGGGAUUUUUUUGAGACCCCUCUUUAGGAGAAUAUGUAUCCCUUCAUAUAGGUGUGAGUUAGGGUUCAAGGUAUAGUAGCCUCCAAGAAACCCAAAUAGACUCCUAAUAGACUCUUAGGAUUUCUAAAGUUCUGUAGUAUCUUUAAUUUAGGAUUUGGCUUGAUCCCUUAAAAUUUCAAUAUCUACACCUUCCUCAAUAGAGGUUCUUGAUAUUGACCUAUAGAUAUAGAGGAAGAUGAUUUCUGAUAAUAUUGUCUAUGAUUCACCCUUAGUUUCUUUUGUCAAGAACCAAUAUAUUCACACCGAAUAGUUUAUAAAUGUACUUGAGAGUUGAGAAGCAGUACCGAUUAGAAUGAUGAGAAUAUUCUACUACUCUUAUGCUGAUAUUUUUUGCACUAUGUAAAAAUAUUUUUACAAAUCCUGCCAACUUAUUUAACUACAACCCCAAAUGGAUAAGCUGCCAACAGUUUAAUCCCAUGUGACUCCCAAUUGUCAAGCAUUUGAUUUCUUCUGAACUAUUUUUGAGAAUUUUAAUAUUCUAUUUAUGCAUAAGUAAAAGAAGAUAAGUCUAUCGUUAUCUGUUUGAAACAAAAAAGUUUUUGAAAAAUAAAACUACAAGUGCAAUAAAAAUGAGCUUUAUGUCUCAAUACCAUAUAUAUUUUAAUGAUGUUUCAUCUCCUUCCUUCAAUUGCCUGGCAUGAAAUAGAAUUAGCAAAUAACACUAGUAUUUCAAUUUUCAACAGCUUUAAUGGUGACUUUAUUCUUAACGAAUGUAACGUCUGGUUUUUAAUAAUAGUUGAAGGUGACUUCCCCCAAGUUAGCUAUUUCAUAUUACCAGUGCUAGCUCAUAUUAUAUAGAAGAAGGAAUAGAAUCAGUUGAAUUACUUAGAGUAAAAUGAUUUUACGCUACAGCUUCUUUCAUAGAAUGAUACCAAACAGCAUUCUUUGAAACCAAAUAUCAUACAGAUAGUUUUGGGUUGAUAUUUUUGGACUCCAGGUAAUGCGAAGAGCUUAUAAUUAUCAAAAAUGAACUCUCUUUCAUAUAAGUAAUUGGAAAGUUAAUCCAUUAUACUGUGUGCUUCUACACAUCUGGCUUGUGCUAGAAGUUGCAUAUCGAUGUGUGCUAGAUGCCAUUAAUAUUAUACUCGAUAAUGAAACUGUUACAAUGCUCAUCUGAAUUUUUUUCCAUUACAUUAAGGUUUAUGAAUUUAAAUAAAAAUAUGGUCAUCGAGACGAGUAAAUUUAUAAGCAAGAAUGAAGUUCCAUACUCAAUAUCACCUAGAGUUGUCAUAAUCUAACUCAAUUAACAGAGAAUUGAUGAAAUAAUAUACCUCAAAGAAGAACCAAAAGGUGAGUUGUAAAGGGAAGUUUGGUAUAUGAACAAUCAUUGGUUCUUCAUGGAGACUUGAUUUGAAGCCAUUAUCGACUCUUUUUCAAAAGCUUUUAUAUGCAUUUUGUAUCUCAAUCGCUUUUUGGCCUUAUGUGUAGAAUCGCAUGAAGCUCUAUAUAGAAUGUGUUUGCCAGAAUAAGACAAUUUGCUAUGCAGGUUUUAGUAUAAUUAGGAUGUGUGAUUUGGAACUUCACGAGUCUUUUGAUCACUGUCCGUGAACAUAGGAAAUAUAAUGCGACGUUUUUUUGCUAUAAUAUUGCCUAUUGUUAUGUCAACUGAUAAUUGUAUUAUUUCACUAGGACGAUCAAUGUAGUCUUUGAUGAAUCUAAUCUUCUUCUUUAAUUGUUUAUUCUUUGUUACAAACUGACAUAAACUUUUUACUUCAACAUAUCAAAAACUUGAAAGUCUGAAGAACCUAUUGUUGAAGAAAGUGCACAUCAAGCUGAAGAACAAGAGAAUUUUGUUAUGUUAUGGAUGGUUUGAAGGCACUGUCUUAUGUAUAUAUGCUGCAAUUUUAUUUUUUCUCUUUUUAGGAAUUGUUAAAAAUGAUGUUAUACUAUUUGAAUUGAUUUCUGGUAAUGUGGUGAUGUUACACUUGUGAACACCUAAUUA
RNAcentral lists this long non-coding RNA (3724 nucleotides) under Nicotiana benthamiana. RNAcentral describes it as "long non-coding RNA (NBEN_LNC041916)". The record is from RNAcentral. Lineage: Eukaryota; Viridiplantae; Streptophyta; Magnoliopsida; Solanales; Solanaceae.